RNAcentral lists this ribosomal RNA (253 nucleotides) under uncultured bacterium. RNAcentral's name for it is "partial 16S ribosomal RNA". It matches the Rfam family "Bacterial small subunit ribosomal RNA", at positions 524 to 776 of the family's 1533-position model. The record is from RNAcentral.
UACGUAGGGUGCGAGCGUUGUCCGGAAUUAUUGGGCGUAAAGGGCUCGUAGGCGGUUUGUCGCGUCGGGGGUGAAAACCAUGGGCUUAACUCAUGGCUUGCUUCCGAUACGGGCAGACUAGAGGCAUGCAGGGGAGAACGGAAUUCCUGGUGUAGCGGUGAAAUGCGCAGAUAUCAGGAGGAACACCGGUGGCGAAGGCGGUUCUCUGGGCAUGUCCUGACGCUGAGGAGCGAAAGUGUGGGGGGCGAACAGG